GAGUGUUUAGUUUCUGGAUGUUAUUAUACUUUGGUAAAAUAUGGUUAUAUUUUAAAGUAUAAUUCUUGGUCAGAUUGUUUUAUCCCUUUGUAUUUAUAGGAUGUAUAUCUUUUAUGAAUUGAUAUACUUAGCUCACUAUAAACAAUGCUCUGAUACCAAUCUUUCACACCCCAAAACCGGAACGGCGGAAACGUUCUGGGGUGGAUGGCGUCAUGUCAAGUACCACAACACAUGCAUUAUAGUAAUCAAAGUACAACAAAACAUUGCAUUAAUAGUAAUAGUUUUACAUGGUUACAUUACAAUACAUCGAAGUAAUACAAGUAAAUAUAAGUAAGUAUGGCAUGGCACUAAGCUAUCUUCAUCAACUGCUCCGGGGAUGUACCUGUCUAAUGCUAACCUGAGAAUACAAGUUAUUUGAAAAGCGAGUAUCAGCAUUUUUACAAAUGCUGGUGAGUUCAUAAGCAUUUAGUGACGUUUUUAUUCAAAUAACUUUAAUAAAAGUAGUAGUUUAAGAGAUUACAGUGUAUUAGAGUUCUUUCCAGAAAAUCCUAUAUUUUCUUUAAAAAAAUCAGCCUUCUACCAAGACUGGUCAGUGUUAUGUGGUAAAAAGUAGUUUUCCCUUAAUUGUUAUCAUUAUCAAAAUACUAAAUUUGAUUAUUAAAGAAAACGAGAGACAACAGGGAAAUAACAUAUGCCUCAGCAGUGAGGACUGUUGACUAAGGAAAAAGAAUCAUAGACUCCAGGAGAGUAUCGAACGAACGACACGCAUGGCUCAGUCUAACAGAAAGAGACACAGACCCUAGGCGGUACCAAAUGAAAGGUACAACUAGUAAGGUCUAAUACAGUGAACACAGACCCCAGACAGUACCAACUGAAUGAUACGUCUAGCAAGGUCUAAAACAGUGAAUACAGUGGAUACAGACCCCAGACAGCACCAAAUGAAUGAUGCGUCUAGUAAGGUCUAAAACAGAGAAU
This 975-nucleotide long non-coding RNA is filed under the name Lactuca sativa (garden lettuce). RNAcentral describes it as "long non-coding RNA (LSAT_LNC005216)". Lineage: Eukaryota; Viridiplantae; Streptophyta; Magnoliopsida; Asterales; Asteraceae. The record is from RNAcentral.